CCCAUCUCGUUGGCUUGGGUUCAGCUGGUGGUAUGGAGGGGUGCUGCCUAGCACUGACCUGGGAGUGUGAGUGAUCUACUGACCCAAUGGACAUCAAAGGCCAGUUCUGGAAUGAUGAUGAUUCAGAAGGAGAUAAUGAAUCAGAGGAAUUUCUCUAUGGAGUUCAGGGAAGCUGUGCAGCUGACUUGUAUCGACACCCACAGCUUGAUGCAGACAUAGAAGCUGUAAAGGAGAUCUACAGUGAGAACUCUGUAUCUAUCAGAGAAUAUGGAACAAUUGAUGACGUGGACAUUGACCUCCACAUCAACAUCAGCUUCCUCGAUGAGGAAGUCUCUACAGCCUGGAAGGUCCUCCGGACAGAACCUAUUGUGCUAAGGCUGAGAUUUUCUCUCUCCCAGUACCUUGAUGGACCAGAACCAUCAAUUGAGGUUUUCCAGCCAUCGAAUAAAGAAGGGUUUGGGCUAGGUCUUCAGUUGAAAAAGAUCCUGGGUAUGUUCACAUCCCAACAAUGGAAACAUCUCAGCAACGAUUUCUUGAAGACUCAGCAGGAGAAGAGGCACAGUUGGUUCAAGGCAAGUUGGUACUAUCAAGAAGUUCCGAGCCGGCCUCAGCAUCUUCUCACCCAUCCCCAAGUCUCCCAGUUUUCCUAUCAUACAGGACUCUAUGCUGAAAGGCAAACUGGGUGUACCAGAGCUUCGGGUUGGGCGCCUCAUGAACCGUUCAAUCUCCUGCACCAUGAAGAACCCCAAAGUGGAGGUGUUUGGCUAUCCUCCCAGCCCCCAGGCAGGUCUCCUGUGCCCUCAGCAUGUGGGCCUCCCUCCCCCAGCACGGACCUCUCCUUUGGUCAGUGGUCACUGCAAGAACAUUCCCACUCUGGAGCACCAGUUCCUCCUGCUGAGCAGUCCUCCUGCCAAGGAGGCUCGGUUCCGGACCGCCAAGAAGCUCUAUGGCAGCACCUUUGCCUUCCAUGGGUCCCACAUUGAGAACUGGCAUUCAAUCCUGCGUAAUGGGCUGGUCAAUGCAUCCUACACCAAACUACAGCUGCAUGGAGCAGCCUAUGGCAAAGGCAUCUACCUGAGCCCCAUCUCCAGUAUUUCCUUUGGAUACUCAGGAAUGGGAAAAGGACAGCACAGGAUGCCCUCCAAGGAUGAGCUCGUCCAGAGAUACAACAGGAUGAAUACCAUCCCCCAGACCCGAUCCAUUCAGUCAAGAUUCCUGCAGAGUUGGAAUCUAAACUGUAUAGCACUUUGUGAAGUGAUUACAUCUAAGGACCCCCAGAAGCAUGGAAACAUCUGGGUCUGCCCUGUGUCUGACCAUGUCUGCACACGGUUCUUCUUUGUAUAUGAAGAUGGUCAGGUGGGCGAUGCCAACAUUAAUACUCAGGACCCUAAGAUACAGAAGGAAAUCAUGCGUGUGAUCGGAACUCAGGUUUCCAUCACAGUGGCUAGCAUGGUUUUCUGCCCAGCCACAAGAAGAGAAACUAGAUCAACCCGUUGCCCAAGUGGGAGUGCCCUCUGUGGCUUCCCCACAGGGUUCACCAGCCCUGGGGCGGGGGCAUUUAAUGACAGCAGUUACUGCUUUGUGUAUUGUCCUCUUCACAUGCUGAACAGUGCUUGCGGUCAAGAUGAUGCUUCCUCACUGAGCAGACAGCCUCUCUCAGAGUUGUGCACUCUCAGCUCCAACUUGGAGACACUCAGAUUAAGUCCAAUUACCUCCAGCAGGGAGCAUGAAACCAAAGGAGAAGGACACAUUCUUGCUUGA
RNA transcript from Elephantulus edwardii (Cape elephant shrew), 1761 nucleotides. It is a transcript of the gene named poly [ADP-ribose] polymerase 6-like, with no coding region annotated. The transcript is spliced from 3 exons. Lineage: Eukaryota; Metazoa; Chordata; Mammalia; Macroscelidea; Macroscelididae. The record is from RefSeq and is a predicted model, not a curated record.